Monopterus albus (swamp eel) is the source of this 3381-nucleotide long non-coding RNA. RefSeq lists it as uncharacterized. The transcript has 4 exons. NCBI's taxonomy places the organism in Eukaryota, Metazoa, Chordata, Actinopteri, Synbranchiformes, Synbranchidae. The record is from RefSeq and is a predicted model, not a curated record.
CCCUUUUCAGUUAUGAUGGAACGGAUGUUUCCUUGAUGAUAAUAAUUACUCAGCAAAUGACAGGUCCGGGUAGAAGAGGAAGCUACGUUUCCAAUAUACUGUAUCAAAAUUUCUCUGAGCUCAGUCAGUACAAAAUGACAACAGUACAGCAACCACAAUCAUAGAAACAAAAUGGUCAUAAAGUUUAAUUAUCAAAUCAGUACAUUUGUACAACAAUUAAACUUUGCUGUACAGUAUUCUACAGGAACAAGCUAGAAGCCACAUCAGUUACCAGUGUCACCGGAGCUAGACUCAAUUGUCCUGUAUUAGGUUUAGACAGAUACUGUAUAACUGGAAACACUGUGGUAAAUGGUAUUUGUAUACUAACCAGUAGCCUGUCCAAUGCAUUGAUGCAUAGCUAUGUGUAGGCCUGCAUGAAAGUUAACAUUUUAGUACAAAACUUCAUGUUUUCUCAGACUUACAGUACAAAGCGAUCAAGUCCAUAGGUCUGCUCAUUUGUCUAAAAAGUCAAAACAUUGGUAUAACUAUAGAUUUUGUAUUUUAUGGAAUACACUUUUAAGAGUCAUGUUAGAUUGCUGUAACUGAUGAGAUUUUGUGAGAUUUAUCUCUUUGAAAGUAGUAUUUCUGUAUUCCUUGCUUGUAAACUGCUUAAUUUCUCAAAGAAAAAAAAGACAAGCUUUCUUAAUAUGUAACUUUGCUUUUGUUGAUCCAAAUCUAUUGAGCCUUAAAGGACCAAAUCAUAAAAAAUGUGUUGUUUUAGGGUUGUUUUCCAAUCUGUGAAUAAAUGAAUGAAGAAAACCACUGUACUAACUUGCUUCAUGUCAAGGGGAUGGCUAUUAAUCAAGGUGUGGGAAUGAAUACACAGAUAAGGUUCCCAUCAUGAAUCUCUUUUUCUUUUUGAAUGGCUCAUAUUGAUUUCCUGCCUCUCCUCAAAUUAACUGGAGAGAAAAGCCAUAUCAACCUGUGAUUGUCAAGUUUGCUCGUCGCUACCUGCCUCUCUCACUCUCCUCUCCCUCUCUUGCCACAGACACACUCCCAGGUGGAGCUUGCAGCUGAGGUGCAUCAGCUAAUUAUGGGGCUGAACAAAUGGGCAGGUGGAGAGACUUAACCAGGAGGUAGAGGAUGAUCGCUGCUGCAUUACUGCAACUGAACCAAAUGCAUUGAGCAUUCUGCUGCUAUGGAUGGAGUACCCUCAACUCAGUCACCAGCUCAGCCUCUGGUCUGUCCCCCUUUGAGGCCUCUCUGAGGUAUCAACCACCAUUACUGGCUGAGGAAGAGAUAGACAUGGUAGUUCCAUCCAUUCAGGCCCAUAUCCACCGCUGCCAACAGAUCUGGAAGGAGACUGUAGCAGCCCUUACCCAUACGUCAGAAAAUUGCCUCCUAGCUGACCGCCAUCAACGGGCAGCACUAACUUAUGAGAUCCAUCAGGUUUCCUCCAGCCCUCUUUGCCCUCCGCCUUCUCUCUCUCCUCCUGCUCUUGAGGUGGAUAGUGGCCCUGCAUACUCCAUCCGACGCAUCCUGGACAUGCACCCACAGGGCUGGGGCUAUCAGUACCUGGUUGAUUGGGAGGGCUACAGGCCAUAGGAACAUUCCUGGAUCCCUCAGUCCUAUAUCUUGGACCCACGCAUGAUUUGGGAGUUCCAUCAAGAUCACUGUAACAAGCCAGACACACUCCCAGGUGGAGCUUGCAGCUGAGGUGCAUCAGCUGAUUAUGAGGCUGAGUACGUAGGAGCCAGUCAAUGCUGCCAGUUCGUCGUUCAACCCCUACCAUGAAGUUUGGCUGUGGAAGAAGUUACGAUUUUCUGUUUUGUGUUUCUACAAUGAUUGCUAUUCAAGUAAGACUGUUUCAAGAUUUUCUGCAAUUCAGCUUCCUGUGUAGUUCUCAGCCUGUCUCUGGGGCUACGUUUUUUGCUGUUAUCUGCUAGCUCAAGCCACAGCACUCAGCUACACUACUUCUGUAGUGUGUCUCCUGCAUCGGCACCAUUCUGUCUGGGCCAAUCCUUCGCCACAUCUUUCAGCUCUGCCUCAAACACUGUUGUCAACUACCCCCUUCUGCAGCAGCUUCUCACCGGUCAGACACAUCCUAUCUGGGUCGCUCCUCAGCUGUUAAUUCCAUACCAAGCCUCCACCAAAGCCCUCAUCUACACUACUUUCAGCAGUUACCCACCUCUGUCCAGGCUCCAUUCCUCUCUGGCUGCACCCAGCUACUACUUCCAGUCUUGACCCAGCUAUAGUUCCCAGUACUCAUCACCCCUGUCCUCUACCAGCCACCAGAGCUCACGUGACAAGGCCCCUGCUCUUCGUGACGCUAACACCUAUUCAACUCUUUCUCGCUCUCCCAGGAACUCGAAUUUGGCUUUCUGCCUCCACUGCCAGAGUAACUACUGGCACAAGUAACUUCAGACUGUCUUUGACCAUCCUGAUCAUCAGGGCAGUGCAGUGAGAGCUAAUGACAAUGCAUCAAGGGUCCCUCAGUGUCACGAAGUAUACAGUGGAGUUCUGGGUGUUGGCUGCAGAGGCUGGCUGGGAUGAGAAAGUCCUCCGGGGUGCUUACUGGCAUGGGUUACAGGACAACAUUAAGUAUUAAUUAGCAACCAGGGACAAAACCGCCAACUUCAAUGCCCUAGCUAACCUGGCCAUUAAACUUGAUAACUGCACCCAGACAGCAAAUGGCUAGCCCCCAGACUGGUUCCACCCUGUCUCAUUCAAUGCCCAAGGAGGAACCAAUGCAAUUGGGAAGAACAUGCUUCACUCCACAAGAACGAGCAUGGCGGAGGUGAACUGGAGCCUGCAUAUAUUGUGGUAGCCUGGAUCAUCGUAUGGAGGAGUGCAAGAGACCUGCCAAAAGGAGAGACCAUCAGUGAGUAUGGGUGCUGGCAGGCAAGCCAAAAACCAACACCACUAAGAAAUCCACAAGCCUAGAGAUGCAAGUCGUUCUGAGCGCCCCCAGCCAGUGUCUUUGACCGCACUAGUGGACUUCGAGGCUGGUGAAAAUUUGAUGGACAUGGAGCUAGUUAAAAUUACAACUCACACAAACCCUUAAAGCGAAGCCUGGAGGCACAUUCUAUUGAUGGAGGGUUGUUGGCCUAUAUCACCCACCAAACUCCUCCCAUCCAGAUAAUGGUGGCCAGCAAUCCACUGACCACACAGUUUAAAAUCCUGCGGUCUCCUCAGACUCCUGUUGUCUAACACCCAUUCAACUCUUUCUUGCUUUUCCAGGAACUAGUUUGGCUUUCUGCCUCCACUGCCAGAGUAACUACCAACGUGAGUAACUGGGCCUCCAUCCAUUCUUCAGCCUGGGUUGAAGCAAGCACCUUCUUCCCAUGUUCCACCUGUUGCUAGCCUUAAUUGUAAUAAACCCCUGUUAACCUGUUGUCAAUA